CCCGUGUCUGUGUGUCUGUCCAUGUCUGUGUGUCUGCCUGUCCGUGUGUCUGUGCCCAAGUGUCUGUGUGUCUGUUCUUGUCUGUGUGUCUGUCCAUGUCUGUGUGUCUGCCUGUCCGUGUGUCUGCGUGCCUGUGUCCAAGUGUCUGUGUGUCUGUUCUUGUCUGUGCCCAUGUGUCUGUGUGUCUGUGUGUCUGUGCUUGUCUGUGCCCAUGUGUCUGUGUGUCUGUGCCUGUCUGUGUGCCUGUGCCCAUGUGUGUCUGUGCCCGUGUGUCUGUGCCCAUGUCUGUGUGUCUGUGCCCGUCUGUGUGUCUGUGCCCGUCUGUGUGUCUGUGCCUGUGUGUCUGUGCCCAUGUCUGUGUGUCUGUGCCCGUCUGUGUGUCUGUCUGUCUGCCUGUGCCCAUGUCUGUGUUUCGGUGUCCGUGUUUGUAUGUCUGUGCCUGUGUCCAUGUCUGUGUGUCUGUGCCUGUGUGUCUGUGGCCAUGUCUGUCUGUGAGUCCAUGUCUGUCUGUGUCUGUCUGUAUGUCUGUGUCUGUCUGUAUGUCUGUGUGCAGGUGUCUGUAUGUCUGUGCUCCUGUGUCUGUGUGUCUGCACCCAUGUCUUUACCCGUCUGUGAGUCCGUGUGUGUGUGUCUGUCUGUGUGUCUGUGUCUGUCUGUCUGUACCCGUCUGUGUGUCUGUGCCCCUGUGUCUCAGUGUGUCAGUGCCCGCUGAUGAGCCCAGAGCCAGCAGAGCCCAGCUGGAUAAGCGCUGCCAUCCCCAUCCCUCCGUGUGCCACACUAACCCCAAACCUCCCCUAAUUCCUCUCUGUGGGAAAAACAGGCUGCCAUAAACACAAGGCAAAGCAUUGGGAAAUAUUGUGCAGGUCUUUUCACCUGGAUUUUAACAGUUUUACUGUCUGUCCUUGUAAUUUUAAAGUACUUUCCUGAGAAUCCUUUGAAUUAUUCAUCCAUUGUGCAGUAAGGCCAACGUAGAACACCACUAAAAUAUUAUGCAGGUACUGAAUGGGGAAGUGCUUUGUCUAUUUGCUAUUGUGUUAUUUAAAC
This 1044-nucleotide long non-coding RNA is filed under the name Cyanistes caeruleus (blue tit). RNAcentral's name for it is "lncRNA (ENSCCEG00000019590.1)". The record is from RNAcentral. Lineage: Eukaryota; Metazoa; Chordata; Aves; Passeriformes; Paridae.